GGCCCCCAUCCAGAAGGCGCAGGCGCGAAAAUUACCCCUUCCGCGCGGAGAGGUAGUGACUAGUCUAACAAAUAUAGACCCUAGUGGUUUGUAUUUGGACUGGUGAGAUGUUAUAAAUAUCUCAGUAAUCUAGAUCAGGGCAAGUCUGGUGCCAGCAGCCGCGGUAAUACCAGCCUGAUCAAGCGUAUGCUUUAGUUGCUGCGUUUAAAAAGCUCAUAGUUGGAUCUUCGAAAGCGUGAUCAUCAAAGGGCGUAGUUCGGUUACGGUCGUUCUAUUCCUGGUCACGGUCUUUCACUAUACUUGGAAGACAGUUUAUUUCUUAACUGAAUAGACUGAUCGAAAACAAGUGAUAAACCUUGAAAAAAAUUAGAGUGCCUCAAAGCAAGCUUUGGCCCUUGAAUUUUAAAGCAUGGAAUUGAGGAAGAGGACCAUUAUGGGUCGUGAACCAUUUUGGUAAUGAUUAAAAGGAACAGACGGGGGCAUACGUAUUGCUCGGGGAGGGGUGAAAUCCGUAGAUCCCAGCAAGACGACCUACUGCGAAAGCAUUUGCCAAGAAUGUUUUUCAUUAAUCAAGAACGAAAGUUAGGAGUAUU
Molecule: ribosomal RNA, 593 nt
Filed under: Waminoa sp. 1 OB-2008
Lineage: Eukaryota; Metazoa; Xenacoelomorpha; Acoela; Haploposthiidae
Description: bacterial SSU rRNA
Rfam family: Eukaryotic small subunit ribosomal RNA
Source: RNAcentral